GUGUCUGUAGCUCAGUGGAUAGGGUGUGUAUUUCCUAAGUUGAAGGUCGCAGGUUCAAUCCCUACCUGACGCG
Molecule: transfer RNA, 73 nt
Filed under: Nicotiana sylvestris (wood tobacco)
Lineage: Eukaryota; Viridiplantae; Streptophyta; Magnoliopsida; Solanales; Solanaceae
Rfam family: tRNA
About the family: Transfer RNA (tRNA) molecules are approximately 80 nucleotides in length. Their secondary structure includes four short double-helical elements and three loops (D, anti-codon, and T loops).
Source: Rfam by way of RNAcentral